CCCUACGGGAGGCAGCAGUGAGGAAUAUUGGUCAAUGAGCGCGAGCCUGAACCAGCCAAGUCGCGUGAGGGAAGACGGUCCUAUGGAUUGUAAACCUCUUUUGUCUUGGAGCAACCGACGCCACGUGUGGCGUUCCGAGAGUACCCGAAGAAAAAGCAUCGGCUAACUCCGUGCCAGCAGCCGCGGUAAUACGGAGGAUGCGAGCGUUAUCCUGAUUUAUUGGGUUUAAAGGGUGCGCAGGCGGAAGAUCAAGUCAGCGGUAAAAUUGAGAGGCCCAACCUCUUCGAGCCGUUGAAACUGGUUUU
RNAcentral lists this ribosomal RNA (305 nucleotides) under uncultured bacterium. RNAcentral describes it as "bacterial SSU rRNA". It matches the Rfam family "Bacterial small subunit ribosomal RNA", at positions 337 to 640 of the family's 1533-position model. The record is from RNAcentral.